Molecule: ribosomal RNA, 484 nt
Filed under: uncultured bacterium
Lineage: Bacteria
Description: partial 16S ribosomal RNA
Rfam family: Bacterial small subunit ribosomal RNA
Source: RNAcentral
AUUGAACGCUGGCGGCAGGCCUAACACAUGCAAGUCGAGCGGAUGAAGGGAGCUUGCUCCUGGAUUCAGCGGCGGACGGGUGAGUAAUGCCUAGGAAUCUGCCUGGUAGUGGGGGAUAACGUCCGGAAACGGGCGCUAAUACCGCAUACGUCCUGAGGGAGAAAGUGGGGGAUCUUCGGACCUCACGCUAUCAGAUGAGCCUAGGUCGGAUUAGCUAGUUGGUGGGGUAAAGGCCUACCAAGGCGACGAUCCGUAACUGGUCUGAGAGGAUGAUCAGUCACACUGGAACUGAGACACGGUCCAGACACCUACGGGAGGCAGCAGUGGGGAAUAUUGGACAAUGGGCGAAAGCCUGAUCCAGCCAUGCCGCGUGUGUGAAGAAGGUCUUCGGAUUGUAAAGCACUUUAAGUUGGGAGGAAGGGCAGUAAGUUAAUACCUUGCUGUUUUGGCGUUACCAACAGAAUAAGCACCGGCUAACUUCGUG